RNAcentral lists this small RNA (581 nucleotides) under Pan troglodytes (chimpanzee). RNAcentral describes it as "processed transcript". The record is from RNAcentral. Lineage: Eukaryota; Metazoa; Chordata; Mammalia; Primates; Hominidae.
AUUCCGGGCACCAGGCUCCGGGCUCUUCAGAGCAUUUGGGGCGGGCGACGGAGGUCCCGUCCACUCUCGCUUGGGUGCAGAAGGGCGCGGCGGUGCCAGGAAGCCGCCUUGGAGGCUCCAAGAUUAGCUCAAACUCAGCGCGGCCAAGCGCAGGUGCGGGGGCCCUCGCCGCCGCCCUGCUUAUCUGGGGACAGUCCCGGAACCCGGGGACCCGGCUCCGCCCCAACCCGCGCCCUCGUCCACCCGCAGCAGCCAGGCCUCUUCCCCGGCCCCGGGAGCCCGCGCCGCGCCCGUCGCUCGCGCGUUCCAGUCCAGGCUACGAGCAGGUGGUGCCUCGGUGCACAAUGCCAUGCAGCUGAAGCCGGGCAAACCCAAUGGCUGGAGGAUUCCCUUCAACAGCCAUGAGGGCGGCUGUGGGGCUGCCAUGCGGGCCAUGUGCAUUGGUCUCAGGUUCCCACACCAUAGCCAACUGGACACACUGAUCCAAGUGAGCAUCGAGAGUGGUCGGAUGACCCACCACCACCCAACAGGCUACCUGGGGGCCCUUGCGUCUGCUCUUUUUACAGCCUAUGCUGUGAAUA